RNAcentral lists this long non-coding RNA (5090 nucleotides) under Sus scrofa (pig). RNAcentral describes it as "lncRNA (ENSSSCG00000059611.1)". The record is from RNAcentral. Lineage: Eukaryota; Metazoa; Chordata; Mammalia; Artiodactyla; Suidae.
AGGAUGUCCUUAACUAGCAAAGGGUAAGGAAGUUCUUUUCAGCUUCAUAUUCCUUUCUCCUUUUGCGAGAGCUAAACUUGUUAAAUUAUAUGAGUUUUCAGAUAACGCUUUGGAAAGCAAAAUCUUAAGUAUUUUAACGAAGUUCAUUCUGCUACAGUCAACUCAUGUUUUGUUGUUUAAUUGGAAAGUACUUCUGACAUAGCUAAUCCAAAACUCUCAUUAAAUACCGGCAGUAAAAGCUUUAAUGCCAAUCAUGCAGAAACUAUGUGGAUAUGACAAAUUGUUUUUAAUUAUCAUAUAAACAUAUUAAAGCAAAAUUUCAUGGCCAACAAAUUUAAAUAAGAUGAACCAGUUUAUAUUUAUGUAAACAGAUAUCAGAGGUGCAUUAAAAAUUAAACAUCAUCAAAAUCGUUCUUAUUAGUAAUGUCCCUUUCACAUUGAACUAAAAAAUUAUAUAUUGUCAUUUUUCUACUAAAUGUUUCUUACUGUUCAUAGAUAAAAUUAGUUAAUUCCUAUGAUUUAAAACUGUUAAUUAAACCUUAGGAUAUUUUCUCCUUUUAAAAUUUAAUAUAAAGUGAUAAAGAUAUUGCAAAGAAAAGAUAAUUAGUUAUGAUAUUAAAAUUUUAAUGAUUCUUCUGGGCUCUCAUGUAAAAAAGAUCAUGGAAUGAAAUAUUUAUAACAAAACAGCUCUUCCUCCAUCAUUUAUUUCAUCGGUUAUAUUUGUGGCCUGCUAAUCCAAUCUUGAGUCACUUUUCUAAUUUAUGUAUGUAAUUUAAGGAGUUUAAAAUUGGCCUAGUGGCUAUUUCAAUACCUGUCAUUUCAUGGAUUGUGAGGUUACAUGAAAAGAAAGUUGAUGAGUCAAUGGUAUGAGUCAUUUUAUUAAAGCCAUAAUUAUAAACCACUAACUUAUAUUCCUUUGAAAAACUUUUGGAAUCCUUAAUAGUUUAGAUUUAAAAGAUUUUUUUAUAGAUAGAACUCUUCUGUUCUUGGAGUUGCAGUCCACAGACUUGAUGAUUUUAAAUUUCUACUUCUGUAACACCAUGCCAUUUUUUUAAAUAGAAAAGCAGAUGAAAUCUAUUAUUAAUGAUUUAGAUUGUCUUAGUUUGGAAGCUGUUCGUUAGAAUUCAGUUACAUGCUUUGAGAAGUUAUUUUAACUUUUGUUUUUAGAACCAUAUGUAGUAAAUUUAUCUCUCCCACCAAUGUAGUAAAAUUUUGGUAAAUAGAGAUCCAGGACCAGAUUCUGCUUCCUUUCCUAAGAAAGGUGUAUGUUGGAUUUUAGCUUGAGAUGUAGGAUAAUUUUAAAUAGAGAAUAACAUGAAACGUUGUACCAUGACCUGGAACCAUCCAUAUGAAUGCCAACACGUGUAUGCAAAACACUCUAAAACCUGUAUUUUUAAUUAUUUUGACUUUGUAAUGUAGCAAUAUGGAAAUGCUACACUAUUUUCCAAAAUCAGGGAGCUGGUUAGAUGCUGAUAACAUUUCUAUCUCAAAAUCAUUACCUUAUAUGAUCAUUUUUUUCUAUUUGACAUUCAAACAAGUAAAAAAUAUGAAAUAAAAAUCAAGCCUAACAAAAUAUGUUUUAUAAUAUUUCUCAUGUAAAUACAAGUGGCUAUGGAAUUAGCUCUGUGGAAUUUAUGUUGCUAUUUGUUUUCUCAAAAUAUUGACCUCUGCAGCCAAACUCCUAAUUGAGUGGAGAAACAGACAUUUCAGACAGUUUCGGUUUCCCCAGGGUGUAACUCCUGGCUGCCUUUGUUUUCAUGUUUUCUACAUGCUAGAAAGAAGGCUUUCAUGAUAAUUGCUCCAUUAUCCUAAAUAUUGGUUUCUUGUUCUCUCACAAACUUAGCAUCAAAGAUUGAUGAAAAAUUGGUAGUGACAGAUUGUCAAGGAGUGUUGUGGAUUGCUUUAUUGAACCCUGUCAUUCACCUUUUAUUUGUUUGCAAGUCACAGAAAUGGAUUUUGAGAUGUAUGCUGUUUAGCUUUUUUUGGUCCGUAGUAGAGUCUGAAAGAGAGCCCUUAUCUGAAAACAAAUUAUUAAUUUUAAAGUGGAUUGUGUAAGAAAGUGGAGAUGGAACUAAGAAAAUCAGUAGGUAUUACUAAAAACAAACACAUACUCUGCAGUUCUGGAUUAUUACCAAAUACUAAAAAUUUCUGUCAGGUUCUGUAGGGAAUUAAUUGCAUUGUUAAGUUGGGAAUUUGAAGAGCGUUUAGUAAAUGUAUUUACAAACAUGUGGCAAAUUAUAGCAAAAUUUAAGGAGAUUUUGUAGUAAUCUGGGAUACCGUUAUGACCCAUAAACUUGAAAAGUAAGGAAAAGAUGAAGUUACAGGAAUCAGGAGAGAGAACACUUUGACAUGAUCUGUGAUCAUCAUCAAUUGAAGCACAUAAUAGGGCAGUGAAAGAGCAAUGGGAUGGGUUCCACAGUCUUUCUCUUUCUAAUGUCCUGCUGGUGUUCUUGGCUGGAUUCCACUGGUAGCCAGACAACAAGGAAGUUGGUUAAACAAGCAGGGCAUAAACAAGACACAACAGGAGAACAUUCAACACAGUCUGUCUACAGCAAUUUAUGAUGGACUAAUUAAGUGUUUCUCUUUUUUAAACCAACUCUUGUAGCCUCCAGUGCAAAUAUAGUAUGUCUUGAUUUACAAAACAACUUAGAAUAUAUGAUUGUAUCAAUCCCUUAAACUUCCUGUAGAUAAGAAAUCAGGUAAUGCUGAUCUCAUUUUGCAAAUCAUUCAACUGCCUAGUGGAAGACAUUUAACUUGCAGGUGUUAGGACUUGGGUGCAAACUCGUCUUCUAUUUUUAAGCCUAGUAUUGUUUCCAUUAAUUUCCAAUUAUGAAAAAUAUUUGAGAGUAUUUAUUUUCUUCCUAUAAAAAGGUAAAUGAUUAUUUUUUUGACAACCUUGGGCAUCUGCCCUCUGUCAGUAAACUGAGUGUUUUGGUACAUGGUCAUGUAACCAUUUUAGUUAAACCAUUUGAAUGUAAUUGACGUUUAAUCAAUUAAGCUAAUGGUUUAUAGAUUCAGUUUUAAUAGUGUUAAACUAAAAGAUAACUAAAAGAUAAACUAAAAAGGAGCCUUGAAUCCAAAGGAGGCUCCUUCAUCUUCUUGAACAAUACUAGAGAAUUUAUAUUCUGAAAUAUAGUCUAACAUAGUCAUUAUAUUGUGGUUAUUGUUAUAUCUGAGGGAAAGGAAUUAUUUUAUUGUAUAUUUGUGUAUUUGUUUGGGCUUUGUCUUUGUAAUACCUAAGUGAUUUAGUAUGAAGUAGGGCAGAAUCUGUUGCAAAAUUGCAUUGAACAUUUAAUAGCAGGGAGAUGGUUUCCCAUUUGGGGGUAUCCUUGGUUAAAGCUGUGUUUUAUUGUCAUCAUCACCACAAAAGUGUUCUGAAUAUGCAGCCCCACAGUAAUAAUGGCUCAGUAUGACACGGUGGGCAGAUUCCUUGGUUACGGGUAGGAGCUGAAUCCUUUCUCAACCGUGGUAUUAGCAAAUUAUGAGUGAGUGUUAGGUUCUCAGAUUUAUAAAGCAUAUUUUAUGAAAGCUCUAGAGUGGAGUUUCAUUGUCUAAAAAUUAUCUAUAUCUCAACUGUUCUUUUGUUUUAGAAUUGUGUACUUAAGCACAAAGUAUUGAAUUUGUGUAAAAAUGGCAAGUGCUUCUUAUGUGUUGUUUAAAAAUAAGUAAAACUGACAUUAGUUCUAAUCCCUGCAGUGAGAACUUGGGUCCAAUAGUUAGUGCCUUUGUCUUAUGUUAAUUAGAAAGUACACUUUCAUUGGUAGCAGUAGUAUAAAGGACCACUAAUUUAAUUUCUUUCAUAUUUUUCAUUAAUUUUACAUGAAAGAAAAAUUAUAUGGUAGUGAAGUAAAGGCCUAAUAUUUGAAUUUGGUAUAAAAGUAUAUGUAACUCUCUCAGUAAUUUAGAAUAAAUAUGUUAUGUUAUACUAGGUCCCAGUUAAUAAAAAACAAUGUAUUAUUGAAAAAGUCAAUUCAAAUAUUAAUUUUUAUUGUGUUAGUUUUAGUAAGGCCUAGAAACAGCAUUAAUAAUUUUAAAAAUAUACUGUGUGCGAAACUAUUUAAACACUCUUAAAUUAAACUGGAUUUUUAGUAGAGCACUGACCAAGAAAUCAUCCUCUAGACACUUCUUUUUAGUAUCUAAUACAUUUUUAGUGUUAAAACAUUUUGCAAAAAUAUUUACUGAUUUUAAUAUGCAAAAUUUAGUGCAUGUAAAUAUCAAGAGUAUUGACAGGAUUAUUUGUAAUUAUUUCUAGGUGGGUCACUCUUUAGAGAGUUAUUAUCUAUGUAGAUAUUAUAGAAGUUGGGAAGCAUUUCAGAUCAAAAAGGAAAGUGGAGUUUAUUUCUCCUUCAACCUAGGGAGUGUCCUCUCUGAGGGCGGAUUGGAGCUGUCCUAGCUGUCUGUACUCACCAUUUCUCAUUUUGUUGGUUUUCUUUACAGAGAAAUCUCAUCCUAAGUCUCAAAUUAUGUUUUCAAAGCCAUGUACAGGAAACUCUUACCCCACGUAUCCCAAAUGCAUGACUUAGGACUCUCUAAGUCUCUUUUUCAUCUCCAUUCAGCUGCUCUUUUCAUGAUUUCUGUAGCAGUGCACUUCAAGUCAGGGUUUCUUUCAUGGCAUUCCUUCUGGUUAGAACACAUUCCUCCUUUCUAUUCACCCUUAAAACAGUUUAAUGGGAUUUUCUUUCAAAAGCCUUCCCACAAACCUGGCCCCAUCUGUACCUUGCGUUUUCUAGUCUACCCUCCAACCCGAGAAAAAACUAUUAGGUAAUUGUCAUAUUUGUGUUGGAGUUGUCCUUAAAGUUAAAUUCCAUGAAGGCACAGAUUUUGUCAAGUUUGCCAUCAUUCAGAUUGGUGCUUGAUACUGAUUGGGCUUUUUAAAUGAAUGUUUGUCUCUUUUCCUUGAGAGUGUGCUAUGUUGUCUGUAGAGAUAUUUUCUUUUACUUACUAUAGAUUCGUUAGACUUGGAGGCUUUAGACAAUUACUAGGUAGUUAAAAGUUUAACUCUUUGAGCUGACCAGGAAUAAAUUUUCGUGAGGGUGUUUAAGAUUAUGAAGUACAUGAACUAGUUGUAAACCUGUAUCAUGCCCCUAGUU